CAACAAACAGCAGUAGCUUUUUUGUUCAGACCUGAUGGAAACUAAGAUGAGGAUUUCAGGGUUAUUUGUAAUUUUCAUUACAGGUGCCGUGGCACAGUAUUCCGUAGAUCAGCCUGCUAAUUACAGAUGUACAGAAGGAGAUCCAUUUCAGAUUAACUGUACUUAUACAGGCACAGAGAACAGCCUGCAAUGGUACCGGCAGAUUCGUGACCAACCACCCCAAGCAUUGCUAUUCAUGUACGGUUCCGGUUCCAAAUCAGGAAAUGGUUUUACUAUGUUUUUGGACACAAAAAGCAAGUUCACCUUUCUGUACAAGAACACGAGUCAGACAGAAGACUCAGCCAUGUAUUAUUGUGCAGUGGUAGCACAGCAGUUCAAGCUGAUAGGAGCAAAGUACAAAUUCCUAUUGCAAGAAAUGUUUAGAGAAGUUUCCUGUCAGAAUACUCACGGUGCCUUGAGAAUGGGUGGUGUGCCCAAAACUGGUGGUGUCACAUUGGUACCUAAUAAAAGGUGCAAAUUGCCACAGUUACUGCAUAAGUACUUUUCUGGAGCUCAUUUUUGCUUGUAUUCUGUUGAUGUUAGGGAGUAGGGACUACCUACAUAACUAACCUCACUCUUUUGGCACCUGGUAAUAAAUGCUCUCAUGUCAUUCACCACAAACGCAAUUUAAGCAUAAUUGCUUAUAUAUUCAUAAAAUUAUACAUAAUUUUUGAAUGAUAACAUAUACAGUAUUAAGCUAUUAUUUUGAGUUAAAGGAAAUGUAAACCCAACAUUUUUUUGCCUAAUA
Non-coding RNA from Xenopus laevis (African clawed frog), 787 nucleotides. The record is from the annotation of a RefSeq genome assembly. NCBI's taxonomy places the organism in Eukaryota, Metazoa, Chordata, Amphibia, Anura, Pipidae.